This 443-nucleotide ribosomal RNA is filed under the name uncultured bacterium. RNAcentral's name for it is "partial 16S ribosomal RNA". It matches the Rfam family "Bacterial small subunit ribosomal RNA", at positions 338 to 795 of the family's 1533-position model. The record is from RNAcentral.
CCUACGGGUGGCAGCAGUGGGGAAUAUUGGGCAAUGGGCGCAAGCCUGACCCAGCAACGCCGCGUGAAGGAAGAAGGCUUUCGGGUUGUAAACUUCUUUUCUGAAGGACGAAGAAAGUGACGGUACCUCAGGAAUAAGCCACGGCUAACUACGUGCCAGCAGCCGCGGUAAUACGUUGGUAGCAAGCGUUAUCAGGAUUUAUUGGGUGUAAGGGGUGUGUAGGCGGGAAAGCAAGUCAGGUGUUAAAACUCAGGGCUCAACCCUGAGCCUGCAGUUGAAACUGGUAUUCUUGAGUGCUGGAGAGGCAAGCGGAAUUCGGGGUGUAGCGGUGAAAUGCGUAGAUAUAGGGAGGAACACCAGUUGCGAAGGCAGAUUGCUGGACAGUAACUGACGCUGAGGCGCGAAAGCGUGGGGAGCAAACAGGAUUAGAUACCCUUGUAGUC